RNAcentral lists this ribosomal RNA (253 nucleotides) under uncultured bacterium. Its description in RNAcentral is "partial 16S ribosomal RNA". It matches the Rfam family "Bacterial small subunit ribosomal RNA", at positions 524 to 776 of the family's 1533-position model. The record is from RNAcentral.
UACGUAGGGUGCGAGCGUUGUCCGGAAUUACUGGGCGUAAAGAGCUCGUAGGUGGUUUGUCGCGUUGUUCGUGAACACUCACAGCUUAACUGUGGGCGUGCGGGCGAUACGGGCAGACUGGAGUACUGCAGGGGAGACUGGAAUUCCUGGUGUAGCGGUGGAAUGCGCAGAUAUCAGGAGGAACACCGGUGGCGAAGGCGGGUCUCUGGGCAGUAACUGACGCUGAGGAGCGAAAGCGUGGGGAGCGAACAGG